RNAcentral lists this ribosomal RNA (253 nucleotides) under uncultured Rikenellaceae bacterium. RNAcentral's name for it is "partial 16S ribosomal RNA". It matches the Rfam family "Bacterial small subunit ribosomal RNA", at positions 524 to 776 of the family's 1533-position model. Lineage: Bacteria; Pseudomonadati; Bacteroidota; Bacteroidia; Bacteroidales; Rikenellaceae. The record is from RNAcentral.
UACGGAGGAUCCAAGCGUUAUCCGGAUUUAUUGGGUUUAAAGGGUGCGUAGGUUGUUUUAUAAGUUAGCGGUGAAAUACCGAUGCUCAACAUCGGGGCUGCCGCUGAUACUGUAGGACUAGAGAUCGGAUGCAGCAGGCGGAAUGUGUAGUGUAGCGGUGAAAUGCAUAGAUAUUACACAGAACACCGAUUGCGAAGGCAGCAUACCGGCGCCCGACUGACGCUGAGGCACGAAAGCGUGGGGAUCGAACAGG